This 443-nucleotide ribosomal RNA is filed under the name uncultured bacterium. RNAcentral's name for it is "partial 16S ribosomal RNA". It matches the Rfam family "Bacterial small subunit ribosomal RNA", at positions 338 to 795 of the family's 1533-position model. The record is from RNAcentral.
CCUACGGGCGGCAGCAGUGGGGAAUAUUGGGCAAUGGGCGCAAGCCUUACCCAGCAAUACCGCGUGAGUGAAGAAGGUCUUCGGAUUGUAAAGCUCUUUGAUCAGGGACGAACAGAUGACGGUACCUGAAGAACAAGCCCCGGCUAACUACGUGCCAGCAGCCGCGGUCAAACGUAGGGGGCGAGCGUUGUACGGAAUGACUGGGCGUAAAGGGUGCGUAGGCGGAAUAAUAAGUUAGAAGGGAAAUAUCCAGCGCUUAACUCGUGUGCUGCGUCUAGGACUGUUGAGCUUGAGUGCGGGGGAGGUUAAUGGAAUUCCUGGUGUAGCGGUGGAAUGCGUAGAUAUUAGGAGGAACACCAGAGGCGAAGGCGAUUAACUGGACCGUAACUGACGCUGAGGCACGAAGGUGUGGGUAGCAAACAGGAUUAGAUACCCUAGUAGUC